RNAcentral lists this unclassified non-coding RNA (145 nucleotides) under uncultured fungus. RNAcentral describes it as "sequence contains ITS1, 5.8S rRNA gene". Lineage: Eukaryota; Fungi. The record is from RNAcentral.
CCAGAGAUGGCGGGCCCCCGCGCCCCCGUCCCCAACCCUUUGUCGACCAAAACCACUUUUGCCUCGGGGGUGGAGCGGCCUCCGCCGCCCCCGGUGGACCAUUUAACCCUGUCUCUGUACGUCGGAGUCUUUGAUAAAUAAAUGA